UAUGGGAAAGGUCUAUUCCCUUUCAAACCGCAACCCAUUGUUUCAAAUCUCAAAACGCUCCAAGGGGCUCUUAUGGGUUUUUGAUGAGAGAAAUAUAAUCUCUUUAUAUUUCCUAGCCAAGCAUAAACAUAGAGACAAGCUCUUCUAUGUUUUGGCGUUGCAAGAGAAAGAGUAAGGAGUGUUGAGAAGAGCCGACGACAGGAAGGCACGCCUGAAGAGGCGGGCUCGAGAGACGCGACAAGGAAGAUAUGUUUACGGAACGGAGCCAGAUGAAGGAUCUGAGAACAGGGGAACAUGUUUGGAGUGCGGUUUUGUACAUAGAGGCAAGAAGUUGUUACGCGUGAAAACAAGGAGAGCUCCGGGAAGCGGAUUAGAGGACACAUCGAGAGAUUCUUGCAGAGAGGGUUUUCUUCUUCGUCGGUCUUGAAAAAGUUCCGGGGCUUUCUGGUAAGGUGAUAAAGAGAGCGUCGAAGAUUGAGGGGGUCUUUGUCCUCUCUGAGCGUAAGGAAAGACGCAGAAAGUGGGUUAUUCCGUGGGUGUUUCUGUGGAAGAAGAGUGCAGAAGAUUGGGGUUUCUUGAUGAGGGAAAUAGUGAAGGCGUCAAAUAUUGAUGGUGUCUUUGUCCUCUAUGGGUUGAAGGAAAGACCCCGAAAGGGGGUUUUUCUGCGGGUCUUUCUACGGAAGAAAAGAGCAUAAAAGGCUGCUCUUCUCCUUCUAAGUAUUCUCUGUUGUGAGGAUUUAGGGCGUCCGACUUUGGGGUUUCUUGACGAGAGAAAUAAUGAGAGUGCCGAAGAUUGAGGGGGUCUUCAUACUCUCUGAGCGGAAGGAAAAACGGAGCAAGGGGGUCCUGUGGGUGUUUCUGUGGAAGAAGAGUGCAGAAAAGGGGGCUAUUCUUCUUCUAAGUAUUAUCUAUUGUGGGGAUUUAAGGUGUCGGCCUUUGGGGUUUCUUGAUGAGGGAAAUAAUGAAGGCGUCGAAUAUUGAGGGUGUCUUUGUCCUCUAUGGAUUGAAGGAAAGACCCCGAAAGCGGGGUUUUUCUGCGGGUCUUUCUACUGAAGAAAAGAGAAUGGGGGCUCUUCUCCUUCUAAGUAUCCUCUGGUGAGGAUUUAGGGCGUCUGACUUUGGGGUUUCUUGAUGAGGGAAAUAAUGAGAGUGCCGAAGAUUGAGGGGGUCUUCAUACUCUCUGAGCGGAAGGAAAAACGGAGCAAGGGGGUCCUGUGGGUGUUUCUGUGGAAGAAGAGUGCAGAAAAGGGGGCUCUUCUUCGUCUAAGUAUUAUCUAUUGUGGGGAUUUAAGGUGUCGGCCUUUGGGGUUUCUUGAUGAGGGAAACAAUGAAGGCGUCGAAUAUUGAGGGUGUCUUUGUCCUCUAUGGGUUGCAGGACCCCGAAAGGGGGUUUUCCUGUGGGUCUUUCUACGGAAGAAAAGAGCAUUAAAGGGGGCUCUUCUCCUUCUAAGUAUUCUCUGUUGUGAGGAUUUAGGGCGUCCGACUUUGGGGUGUCUUGAUGAGGGAAAUAAUGAGAGUGCCGAAAUUUGAGGGGGUCUUCAUCCUCUCUGGGCGGAAGGAAAAACGGAGCAAGGUGGUCCUGUGGGUGUUUCUGUGGAAGAAGAGUGCAGAAAAGGGGCUCUUCUUCUUCUAAGUAUUAUCUAUUGUGGGGAUUUAAGGUGUCGGCCUUUGGGGUUUCUUGAUGAGGGAAAUAAUGAAGGCGUCGAAUAUUGAGGGUGUCUUUGUCCUCUAUGGGUUGAAGGAAAGUCCCCAAAAGGGGUUUUUUCUGUGGGUCUUUUUGCGGAAGAAAAGAGCAUAAAAGGGGGCUCUUCUCCUUCUAAGUAUUCUCUAUUGUGAGGAUUUAGGGCGUCUGACUUUGGGGUUUCUUGAUGAGGGAAAUAAUGAGAGUGCCGAAGAUUGAGGGGUUCUUCAUACUCUCUGAGCGGAAGGAAAAACGGAGCAAAGGGGUCCGGUGGGUGUUUCUGUGGAAGAAGAGUGCAGAAAAGGGGGCUCUUCUUCCUCUAAGUAUUAUCUAUCGUGGGGAUUUAAGGUGUCGGCCUUUGGGGUUGCUUGAUGAGGGAAAUAAUGAAGGCGUCGAAUAUUGAGGGGGUUUUUCUGUGGGUCUUUCUGCGGAAGAAAAGAGCAUAAAAGGGGGCUCUUUUCCUUCUAAGUAUUCUCUGUUGUGAGGAUUUAGGGCGUCCGACUUUGGGGUUUCUUGAUGAGGGAAAUAAUGAGAGUGCCGAAGAUUGAGGGGGUCUUCAUACUCUCUGAGCAGAAGGAAAAACGGAGCAAGGGGGUCCUGUGGGUGUUUCUGUGGAAGAAGAGUGCAGAAAAGGGGGCUCUUCUUCGCCUGAGUAUUAUCUAUUGUGGGGAUUUAAGAUGUCGGCCUUUGGGGUUUCUUGAUGAGGGAAACAAUGAAGGCGUCGAAUAUUGAGGGUGUCUUUGUCCUCUAUGGGUUGAAGGAAAGAGCCUGAAAGGGGGUUUUCCUGUGGGUCUUUCUACGGAAGAAAACGAGAAAAAAGUGGGCUCUUCUCCUUCUAAGUAUUUUCUGUUGUGAGGAUUUAGGGCGUCUGACUUUGGGGUUUUUUGAUGAGCGCAAUAAAGAGAGUGCCGAAGAUUGAGGGGGUCUUCAUCCUCUCUGAGCGGAAGGAAAAACAGAGCAAGGGGGUCCUGUGGGUGUUUCUGUGGAAGAAGAGUGCAGAAAAUGGGGCUCUUUCUUCUCAUGGGUCUUCUCUGUUGUGGGGAUUCAGGGUUUUCCUCUGCUUCUUCUGGGUUCUAAUCAGUGAAGGGAGACAGAAGAAAAGAGCAGAACAAGCUAAGUAAAAGAAAGAGACAAUAAUUUGUAAGAGAUGUUUAUUAGAGUUGUUGUGUACGAGAUGAGACCAGGUCUUUUCUAGUUGCUGGAUACACAGACCAUCAGGUCUGUCUGGCAUGGACUGUAUCCUGGCAGUAUUAUAGUCUUUGUUCAAUUAGCUAUAGUUUACUUGUUCAAGAGGUAUGCAAUAUCUAUCUACACUUAUACCUUGUAGUGCUGGAUUCGAAUAAUACGAUAUACUUGCUUUCUCAUACUUUUUUGUCGCAUUUGAGCGAUCAUUUGUGAGAGGCAGCAAACAACGUCCCGAAAUAUGGCAGGUUUUUAGAAUUGAUGGUUUGCAUUAACUUUGCCGAUAAUAGUUUUGGUGCUAAAAAUGUUUAUAUGCUGGUUUUCAAGUAAUACUCUUUUGUUUCACUCCCUUCCGAUCAUUCAUUUUUUUAAGAUCUCAGAGGGGAAGUCCUCUAAGGGUUCCUUGUCACCCUACAUCUUUUAUUGUCCUGUUAAAGCUGAAGGUCACCAUUUUUGGCCUUUCUAACACUUUUAUUCUAGUAGGAGAAAGGUUGUCAAUAUGUGUUUUGAGGCUUCAUUUUAUGUCGGGGCAUUAAUAAAAUUGUUUGGGUCUCUGAGAUUUAAAACAUUAUAAUCACAGUCCUUGCACUCAAAAAGUAAAUCUUUUACUUGAGAUUUUCAGUCCAAAGUAUAAGAUAUUCGAUUCCAUAUUAACAAGCUUUAUAUCCCAAAAUAGAGGUUCCUCGGAUUAUUACUUUGAAAGUUUGAGUCUUUUGAUAUUUUUGAAUAGAUUUAUUGUCCUUUUAUGUCCCAUAUUUCAGUAUCUAGGUUCAGAAAGUAAAAUGCCUAAUUUUUUUUUCUUUUGGAAAUUUUCUUUUUUCAUUUAUUCUUCAAAAAAUAAAGUGCCUCAACCGAAGGAAAUAAUUUUUGAUUUAUUUUGACAAAAUAAAACUAUGGUCCAUCAGGUUCUUCCAACUUUAGGAAAAUGUGGCUUGACCUUUUGAUUCAAAGUAAAUAUGUCCCAAUAUAUUAGUUUGAAAGAAAAAGUUACUUUGAUGACACACUUUCUCUUGAAAAGUUAGAAAACUUUCUCACAGAGAGUUGACAAAUUAGCACGGACAUAAAACAUGGAUGCUUGGUUAUUGGGAUAUUCAUCUUAUGUGAGAAAUGUUGUCGUUUUUCAUUUUGCAGCCAUAACAGGAAACUAAAUUUGCUUUUGUUCCUUGGUAAAAUUACCUUAAUUUCUUUUAUUGAAAGUGAAAGAAAAUUGAUUUAUUGUUUCAAAAUAAAUUUACGUCCGUGUUUAAGAAAGAGCUUUUCAAGUUCUUUGGAGGAAGUAGAAUUCCUUGUGUCCUGGUUUAGAAAGUAAAAAAUGGUUUAGAAAGUAAGAAAGCAGGUAAAUUUGUCUUGAUAUAUCAGUUUGAAAGAAAAAGUUGCUUUGAAGACAUACUUUCCCUUAAAGAGAUGGCAAACUUUCUCACAGAGAGUUGACAAUUAGAGUGGACAUAAAAUAUGGAUGCUUGGUUAUCGGGAUAUUCCUCUCAUGUGAGAAAGGUUGUCGUUCUUCAUUUUGAAGUCUCAUCAGGAACUAGAUUUGUUUUUGUUCCUCGGUAAAGUGCUUUAAUUUAUUUUAUUGAAAGUGAGAGAAAAUUGAUUUAUUGUUUGAAAAUAAAUUUGCAUUCGUGUUUAAGAAAGAACUUUUCGAGUUCUUCGGAGGAAGUAGAAUUCCUUGUGCCCGUUUGGUAGUUUGAUCUUAAAAAAAUGUGUCUGGAUCUUCUAACUCAAAGUAAAUAUUUAUUGGUAUCGUUUUAAGUUCCUUGCUUCUUUUGUUGAAAAAUUAUAUUUUACUAUGUCCUGGUUUGGAAAGUAAGAAAGCAAGUAAAUAUGUUUUGCUAUAUUAGUUUGAAAGAAAAAGUUACUUUGAUGACACAUUUUCUCUUAAAGAGUCGGCAAACUUACAAAGAGUUGAGAAAUUAGCGUGGAUAGAAAACAUGGAUGCUUGGUUAUUGGGAUAUUCAUUUUAUGUGAGAAAAGUUAUUGUUAUUCAUUUUUAAGCCACAUCAGAAACUAUGUUUGCUUUUGUUUGUCGAUAAAAGUUCCUUAGCUUAUUUUAUUGAAAGUGAGAGGAAAUUGAUUUAUCGUUUCAAAAUAAAUUUGUGUCCAUGUUUAAGAAAUAAUUUUUCGAUUUCUUUGGAGAAAGUAGAAAUUCUUGUGUCCAUCUGGUUGUUUGAAUUAAAAAAAAACUAUGCCUGGAUCUUUCGACUGGAAAUAAAUAUUUGUUGGUAUCUUUUAAGUUUUUUGCUUCAUCCGUUAAAAAUAAUUUUUGAUGGGAUCCCGCUUUGGAAGGUAAGAAAGCAAGUAAAUAUGUUGCGAUAUAUCAAUUUGAAAAAGAAAAUUACUUUGAUGACCCACUUUCUCUUGAAGAGCAAAUUUUCUCAUAGAGAGUUGACAAAUUGAUGCAUACAUGAAACACGGAUGCUUGGUUAUCAGGAUAUUUAUCUCAUGUGAGAAAAAUUGUCGUUCUUCAUUUUGAAGCUACAUCAGAAAACUAGAUUUACUUUUGUUUUUCUGUAAAAAUGUCUUAAUUUAUUAUAUUGAAAGCGAGAAGAAAUUGAUUUAUUGUUUUAAAAAAAUUCGCGUAUGUGUUUAAAGAAAUUUUUUUUGAUUUCUUUGGAGAAAGUAGAAUUUUUUGCUUCAUUCGUUAAAAAAUAACUUUUUAUGGUUUGUCGGUUUGCAAAGUAAAAAAGCUAGUAAAUAUGUCUCGAUAUAUCAGUUUGAAAGUAAAA
Carica papaya (papaya) is the source of this 5589-nucleotide long non-coding RNA. RefSeq lists it as uncharacterized. The record is from RefSeq and is a predicted model, not a curated record. NCBI's taxonomy places the organism in Eukaryota, Viridiplantae, Streptophyta, Magnoliopsida, Brassicales, Caricaceae.